GUCUACAGCCAUGCCAUCCUGAACACACCCAUCUGAUCUCGGAAGCUAAGCAGGGUUGAGCCUGGUUAGUACCUGGAUGGAAGACCACCUAGGAAGACCAGGUGCUGUAGGUA
Molecule: ribosomal RNA, 113 nt
Filed under: Pteropus alecto (black flying fox)
Lineage: Eukaryota; Metazoa; Chordata; Mammalia; Chiroptera; Pteropodidae
Source: RNAcentral